UUCACAUGUCUCUAUUUCAAAUACUGGGUUAAUAUGCAAUUUAUAUCUAGCAUAAAAGUUAAUAAUACCAAUAUCUGAUAGUAGUAUUGCAUUCUGUGGAUCUUGUUUACAAACUUUCACAGAUUUAUAUCACUCAAAUCGAACCACCAACUAAUACAAAGACAUGCAUGCAUAAACCAGAUAACCUCAAAAUCAGAUACGUGCAAUUAGUAAUGUACACAGAAGGCCAAGGUGUGCACGUUCAGAACGAAUGCGACGUCUCAUGUCCUACCGAAGGAUUACCGGAUUACCGCACCAAGAACAAAUAGGCGAGGACCUGAAAUCCGAAAAACCAACAGCUCCCCGAGAAGCUCCAAAUGAAUAAAAUCAGAUAGCCCGAGAUGAAACACGCAAAGCAGAGGAGAAUCCCAAAAUGUCAGCACUACGACACAAAGAUACAUUGUAGAAAGCAGUUGGAUAAAAUGGAAACAAGUGUAAAAAAAAAAAAAAAAAAAAUAACAA
Long non-coding RNA from Ostrea edulis (European flat oyster), 501 nucleotides. RefSeq lists it as uncharacterized. NCBI's taxonomy places the organism in Eukaryota, Metazoa, Mollusca, Bivalvia, Ostreida, Ostreidae. The transcript is spliced from 2 exons. The record is from RefSeq and is a predicted model, not a curated record.